GAUGAACGCUGGCGGCGUGCCUAAUACAUGCAAGUCGAGCGAACGGACCAGAAGCUUGCGUCUCUGAUGUUAGCGGCGGACGGGAGUGUCACACGUGUAUAACCUACCUAUAAGUCUGGUAUAACUUCGGGAAACCGGAGCUUAUACCGUAUAAUCUUUUGAUCCGCAUGGUUCAAAAGUGAAAUACGGUCUUUCUGUCACUUAUAGAUGGAUCCGGGCUGCAUUAGCUAGUUGGUAAGGUAACGGCUUACCAAGGCAACGAUGCAUAGCCGACCGGAGAGAGGGAUCGGCCACCUGGGAACGGAGCCGCGGUCAAGAGUCCUGGGAGAGGCAGCAGUAGGGAAUCGGAGGCAGUAGGCGAAAGCCUGGCGGAGUGACGGGGCGUGAGUGAUGAAGGUGUUGGGAUCGGAAAACUGUGUUAUGAGGGGAGAACAGAUGUGUAAGGAGCUGUGGACAGAUUGACGGUAACGAAUAAGAAAGCAACGGCUAACUACGUG
Molecule: ribosomal RNA, 497 nt
Filed under: uncultured bacterium
Lineage: Bacteria
Description: partial 16S ribosomal RNA
Rfam family: Bacterial small subunit ribosomal RNA
Source: RNAcentral